RNAcentral lists this long non-coding RNA (216 nucleotides) under Capsicum annuum. RNAcentral's name for it is "long non-coding RNA (CANN_LNC006866)". Lineage: Eukaryota; Viridiplantae; Streptophyta; Magnoliopsida; Solanales; Solanaceae. The record is from RNAcentral.
UCUCCUUAUCAUGCAUAUUUUCUCCUUCUCUACUUUCUUCCUUCUUCCCUUCCUUAACUCUGGAUGUAUAUUCCAGCAUGUUGCUUCAUCAUGGCCUUGUAAACAAAACUCUCUAUAAUAGUUUGGCUUGUAAUCAUACUGUAUAGUUAUCCACUUAGAUUUAAUGUGUUCAGUCUCAUCUUCUUCAUUUAUCUUCACUCUAUGUGGUAAUUGAGC